CACACACGGAUGAACUUUUGCUCAUGAGAGUGCAUUGCUGGAAUGUGUGUGAGAGUGAACAGGAGAUGAGGUCACAGGAAGUCAAGCCCUGGCUGCAAUUGUGUGGAAAAAGGACACUUCCUGUUCGCUUCCCCAGUCCGUUGUGUGGAGGGUAACAGUAGCUGCGGCGUCUGCUUCAGUCAGAUCUGUUUGAGGUGGAAUGGCUUUUUUGAGCCCCAUUUCAUCACGUUACACUGGUUUUCUUAAAGAAAAACACAGUCAUGCGGGUUUGGAACGAGACAAGGGUGAGAAACUGUACAUGAACAAUACACCCAUAAACAAACAUGGUAAAGCUGGACGGAAAGUAUUGAACCAGUACAAACACAUUGUGACAGCGCAGGAAAUAUUAACGCUCGCAGUUCUCUUCGUUUUGUCUGGAGGAUCCUCAACAUCGCUCAGGAGA
Long non-coding RNA from Cyprinus carpio carpio, 442 nucleotides. The record is from Ensembl. NCBI's taxonomy places the organism in Eukaryota, Metazoa, Chordata, Actinopteri, Cypriniformes, Cyprinidae.